RNAcentral lists this ribosomal RNA (524 nucleotides) under uncultured Basidiomycota. RNAcentral's name for it is "LSU rRNA". It matches the Rfam family "Eukaryotic large subunit ribosomal RNA", at positions 135 to 635 of the family's 3401-position model. Lineage: Eukaryota; Fungi; Basidiomycota. The record is from RNAcentral.
UGUCCGAGUUGUAAUCUAGAGAAGUGUUUUCCGCGCUGGACCGUGUACAAGUCUCUUGGAAUGGAGCGUCGUAGAGGGUGACAAUCCCGUCUUUGACACGGACUGCCGGUGCUUUGGUGAUGCGCUCUCAAAGAGUCGAGUUGUUUGGGAAUGCAGCUCAAAAUGGGUGGUAAACUCCAUCUAAAGCUAAAUACAGGCGAGAGACCGAUAGCGAACAAGUACCGUGAGGGAAAGAUGAAAAGAACUUUGAAAAGAGAGUUAAACAGUACGUGAAAUUGUUGAAAGGGAAACGAUUCAAGUCAGCCGCGUUAGUCGGAAAUCAACCUCACACUCUUGUGAGGCUCACUUUCUGGUUGACGGGUCAGCAUCAAUUUUGACCGUCGGAUAAAGUCCUGGGGAAUGUGGCAUCUUUGGAUGUGUUAUAGCCCCUUGUCGCAUGCGAUGGUUGGGAUUGAGGAACGCAGCACGCCGUCAAGGUCGGGGCCUUCGGGCUCACGUACACGUGCUUUGGAUGCUGGCAUAAU